CGGGGCGUAGCGCAGCUUGGUUAGCGCGCAGCGUUUGGGACGCUGAGGUCGGCGGUUCGAAUCCGCCCGCCCCGA
Molecule: transfer RNA, 75 nt
Filed under: Actinomycetota bacterium
Lineage: Bacteria; Bacillati; Actinomycetota
Description: tRNA-Pro
Rfam family: tRNA
About the family: Transfer RNA (tRNA) molecules are approximately 80 nucleotides in length. Their secondary structure includes four short double-helical elements and three loops (D, anti-codon, and T loops).
Source: RNAcentral